UAGGGAAUAUUGCAGAAUGGGCGAAAGCCCGAUGCAGCAACGCCGCGUGGGCGAUGAAGGCCUUCGGGUCGUAAAGCCCUUUUUGAGGGGAUGAGGAAGGACAGUACCCUCAGAAUAAGCCUCGGCUAACUACGUGCCAGCAGCCGCGGUAAAACGUAGGAGGCGAGCGUUAUCCGGAUUUACUGGGCGUAAAGCGCGUGCAGGCGGAUUGGAGAGUUGGAUGUGAAAGCUCCCGGCUUAACUGGGAGAGGUCGUUCAAUACUUCCAGUCUUGAGUGCAGUAGAGGGAAGUGGAAUUCCGGGUGUAGUGGUGAAAUGCGUAGAUAUCCGGAGGAACACCAGUGGCGAAAGCGGCUUCCUGGACUGUAACUGACGCUCAGACGCGAAAGCUAGGGUAGCAAACG
RNAcentral lists this ribosomal RNA (403 nucleotides) under uncultured bacterium. RNAcentral describes it as "bacterial SSU rRNA". It matches the Rfam family "Bacterial small subunit ribosomal RNA", at positions 355 to 774 of the family's 1533-position model. The record is from RNAcentral.